CAGAAAUAUAUCUCAUAUUUGUAAAUGGAGUAUGAGCAAGUCUUAAAUGCCAAAUGUAAUUCAUGUCAGUUGUAAAAACAUUAUUACAGAUGGAACUAUAUACAUGUGAGGGCAAUGGAACAGCCUUGCUAUCAGACAAAAUGUCAUCAUUACAAGAAGUAGACACAGAAGGCAAUGGAACAACCUUGCUAUCAGACAAAAUGUCAUCAUUACAAGAAGCAGACACAGAACAAACAGAAGCAGAGGAACAACUAACAGAGGAAGAAGGGGAAGGAGGAACCCAAGCCAGUUUAUAUAA
This 298-nucleotide long non-coding RNA is filed under the name Nicotiana benthamiana. RNAcentral describes it as "long non-coding RNA (NBEN_LNC016594)". Lineage: Eukaryota; Viridiplantae; Streptophyta; Magnoliopsida; Solanales; Solanaceae. The record is from RNAcentral.